This 468-nucleotide ribosomal RNA is filed under the name Theileria bicornis. Its description in RNAcentral is "partial small subunit ribosomal RNA". It matches the Rfam family "Eukaryotic small subunit ribosomal RNA", at positions 577 to 1068 of the family's 1831-position model. The record is from RNAcentral. Lineage: Eukaryota; Apicomplexa; Aconoidasida; Piroplasmida; Theileriidae.
CGGUAAUUCCAGCUCCAAUAGCGUAUAUUAAACUUGUUGCAGUUAAAAAGCUCGUAGUUGAAUUUCUGCUGCUUCGCUUUCGUCCCUUUAUUGGUUUCGUUUGCGUUGUGGCUUUUUUCUGGUUGAUUGGCUUCGGCUUUUUUUCCAGAUUUUUUUACUUUGAGAAAAUUAGAGUGCUUCAAGCAGGCUUUUGCCUUGAAUACUUUAGCAUGGAAUAAUAAAGUAGGACUUUGGUUCUAUUUUGUUGGUUUUCGAACCAAAGUAAUGGUUAAUAGGAACAGUUGGGGGCAUUCGUAUUUAACUGUCAGAGGUGAAAUUCUUAGAUUUGUUAAAGACGAACUACUGCGAAAGCAUUUGCCAAGGAUGUUUUCAUUAAUCAAGAACGAAAGUUAGGGGAUCGAAGACGAUCAGAUACCGUCGUAGUCCUAACCAUAAGCUAUGCCGACUAGAGAUUGGAGGUCGUCAGUU